AUCUUUGCAUCUCACUGCAUUUCAUUUCAUCUUGCUCAUGUUUUAUUGUGUUGCACAAUAUAUGGUUUAGCUUAUGUAACUCUUAAACUCGUUCGCAUCUUUAAAACGCGUUUCUAAUUCCGUUUAUCUCUAUUGUUAUUGCCCUUAUUCUUCAUUCUUUGUGAAUGAUUCUUUACUUUGAAGCUUCAUUCUAUGUGAUUGAUAGCCUGUUAUCCAUUUCUUGCCAU
RNAcentral lists this long non-coding RNA (227 nucleotides) under Lathyrus oleraceus (garden pea). RNAcentral describes it as "Pisum sativum (pea) long non-coding RNA (PSAT_LNC016237)". Lineage: Eukaryota; Viridiplantae; Streptophyta; Magnoliopsida; Fabales; Fabaceae. The record is from RNAcentral.